RNAcentral lists this ribosomal RNA (540 nucleotides) under Triticum aestivum (bread wheat). Its description in RNAcentral is "partial small subunit ribosomal RNA". Lineage: Eukaryota; Viridiplantae; Streptophyta; Magnoliopsida; Poales; Poaceae. The record is from RNAcentral.
AUGUUAGAACCAAACAUGUGUGUCAUGUUGUUUGGAGGGGAUCUCAUCCGAGAUAACUAUUCCUUUCGACUUCGUUUUCUUAAUACUGCUAGAACAAAAGAUGUUUGUUUUGAGGACUUCACACUAAUUACCAGUGCCUCUAAAGCACCAUUGUUGGCUUUGCUUCCUUGUAAAACAGAAGUGCAGUCAUGUAUUGAAAUUCCGCUUGGUUCAAAUGUUUCUAGAAAUGAAAGAGUCUUCCUUUAUGUCAUCAGAUGUAUCGAUGACAAAAACUAUGUGCAUUCAAUAACAGAAGGCUCUGUAAAUUUUCCAGAUCCGAGAGAAUUUAUUUGUGAUUGUUCUCCAACGUUCUACUCUUGUUAUGGAGGUCUUGUUUUUGAUAGCUUGGGGAAACUAGUUGGCAUCGGUUUUCAACAUUUUGGCCCAGUUACUUGUUUCCAAGUUGAUCAUAUUCAGGAACUACUUCAACGACUCUCUCCAGGAGAAAGCAUCAGUGACAUUUUAAAAAAUCUGACAAACCUGAAGUUAAAGAGCUCAUAA